GAGGUGCAGAAUGACUUUAUGAAGAAAGAAAAAAUAUUAAAAUAAUAUUAAUUAAGGUUAAAAUGGUAAUUUUUGGAGGUGCAGGAUGAAAGCUUAGAGGUGUAGGAUGAAACACCCGGAAAGUGAAAACCGUGGACCCAAUCUGAUGAGCCCAUCUCAAGCCCAACAUUCUUUUUACAUUUUUUGUUUAAACCCAUGACAGGCCCAUCAUUUCCUCACUCUUAUCUCUCACGUGAUGGAUGUAGUUUUCUUUUUAUAUAUAAUUUUGGAUAAAUGUUCUAAACUCGUGAAAUUAAAUUUUUAUAAUAAUUACAAAUUUUAAAUUACAAUAAACAAACAUCAUAUUAUUAAUUAUUAAACGAGUAUCUUAAUUUAUCAUGGCACGUAAAAAACUUGGAUAUAUGAUGAAAAGGGAAACACAGAAUCUGGUAUGGGAACAUCCUUGUUACGUGUUAGUGGAGAUUUGACGUAACAUGAUAUAAUGUUUAUUUAUUUAUUUUGGAAGCACUCCAAUGUCAUUUAUAAGUAG
Molecule: long non-coding RNA, 529 nt
Filed under: Vigna radiata
Lineage: Eukaryota; Viridiplantae; Streptophyta; Magnoliopsida; Fabales; Fabaceae
Description: long non-coding RNA (VRAD_LNC009415)
Source: RNAcentral